UUUUUGGGGUGAGUUGAGAGAGGACUCGGCGAGUUGGAGCCUAGACUCGCCGAGUAGGAUCGCAGACCUGGUCGCGGGUCCGCGACUGGACUCGACGAGUCCAGAUAUGGACUCGGCGAGUCGACGCUGUUCAGCAGAAACCCUAACCGUUCAGUUUGGAUCGUAUAUAACGCCUCUUAGGCCGUCAUUUUCAGUCUUUUGGUCGAUUGAGAAGAACCCUAAUCGCUGUGGACGUCUAGAGCAGGAGAGAAAGCUUUUGGAACUUGGAAGAAUUGGUUAGACAAGAAGAAGAAGAAAUUGGUCAAAGGAAUAUCAAGGAGGAUCGAGUCCUGAGGUUUGGGGGACACAGAGAGAACGUUCUCAGGUAAUACUCGGAUCAAUUAUGUUAGUUAAUGUGCCUAUGAACCUAGGGUUUAUGAAAAACCCAUUUAGUGAUUAGAUGGGUUAUUAUGUUAUUACCCAGAUGUUAUACCCACAGUAAAGAGAUGUUUAGACGUCCAGAGGGUCCCAUGGUUGUAUAUCUUGGGACCAUACGUAAUUCAGGAAGCAGUUACUCGUCUGCAUGGCAUGGACUCGCCGAGUUGUUCUUCAGACUCGGCGAGUAGCUUGAAGAUUUACUGGGACUCGCCGAGUUGUUCUUCAGACUCGGCGAGUGGAGUCGGGGUGGCCCCGCGAUUCUUCCAGGAGUAACUCGUCGGGUCGAGGAGGGUACUCGACGAGUAGAUAAGGAAUCUCAGAAAGUUGGAGGACGUCUAGACUCGCCGAGUCGCCAUGGUACUCGCCGAGUCCGGUCGAGUUGACCGUUGACCGUUGACCAGAGUUGACCUAAGUCUGACUUCUUAGGGAUAGUCACACUUAGAAGAGAUAAGUAUUAAUGAGUUAUGUAAUGUUAUAGGGAGGUUGUAGCUCGUCGGUUGUGCACGAGUCAUUUCAGGAGUUGCUAGCUUUCAGCAUAUACGAGGUGAGUCUUCUCACUAUACUGUACCCGGAAGGGUUUGACUGUGUGACCGGAAGGUCGGAUAUGUUAUGUGAUAUGUAUGCUAUAUGUGGUAAGUUAAUUGUUAUAUGUGCUAUGUAUGAUAUGUGGGCCGGAAGGCAAUAUGUUAUGGGCCGGAAGGCGAUUAUGUUAUGGGCCGGAAGGCGUUGUAAUGAGGACCGGAAGGUCAGGGCCUGGAAAGGCGUAUGUGCGUAAGUGUAUAUUGGGGAACUCACUAAGCAUUUAUGCUUACAGUUGUUGUGCAUGUAUUUCAGGUACUAGCGAGGACCGUGGGAAGGCGCCGGCAUGAUCGAUACACACUGAAGAUUGUUUUAUGAUCUUGGGAGUUUGAAUAAUUGUAUUGACCGAAUAAUUAAACUGUUUAUGCCUUGUUUUUAAUGGAAAUAAUUAUGUUUUAAAAAUGAAAAAUUUGUUUGAAAAAUUUGAGUUGUUACAAUUGGUAUCAGAGCCUUGGUUUGAGGGAUUCGGGUGCACCUUCGGGGGUAACUGAACUCAAACCGAGGAUUUGAGGAAACUUUUCAAAUAAAGGCAUAAACUUUUGUAAAUGGUUUUGUGGUAAGCAAGAAAGAAGCAGUGUGUACGAUCAGUCAGCGCCCGAACGGUAAAGAUCCCCAAAAUACCUUACAAUAUUAUAUGAUAUGAAUUGUUAUGCAUGCUAGAAGACUAGGUAUUCAUGAUAGGACUAGAGUGGCCUGAUUUGUGAUGCCUUAGUCUAGGGAAGUUGCCUAUAUGAGAUGCUUUGCUAGUAUGCGGGUAGAUAGAGCGUAUCAGAAGUAGAGUACUCACUAUCUGGAGUUUGGGGAGGAGGACUUGGGAUGAACAUUGAUGCGGUGUGGUCGGUAGUAUUGGGCCCGUACUACCGAGGACACCGGGUCAGUGGGAGGCCCAAGUAAGAAUCCCUGGAUAUCUGGGACUGAGUAGGGUUGCGUGUCGAGUACGAUUAUACUCGGUAGAAUCUCUGAUAGUUUUAUGUUGUAUUUCAGAGAUAUCAUGGUUAGACCGCGGCACGGGGCAAGUACGAGCGGUGUGAGUGACGAGGAUAUUCGUCAGAUGAUCCACGAGGAGGUGGCGGCGGCGAUCCGGGCUGAGAUCCCGGAGAUGUUUGGGUCUAUCAAGACCACCCUGAUGGAGACGUUCGACGAGCGGUACGCCGCAUUGACUGAGGCUGCAACCGCUGCAGCUACCGCAGCUGUGGCCGCUGCUAGGCCACAGGGGGGUGAUUCAUUGCUGUUCCGAGAGUUCAGCAACACGAAGCCACCAGAGUUCGAUGGGACGCAGGAUCCGAUUGCUGCGAUGAGGUGGAUCGCAGAUAUAGAGGGGUGCUUCUACACUUGUUCAUGCCCGGAGCACCUGAGGGUACGGUUCGCUUUGAACCAGCUCCGUCUGGGAGCCAAGGACUGGUGGAAGUUCGUGACGGCGAACUUCACUUUAGCAGAGACUGCGGCAGUGACAUGGGAGGGGUUCACUACCAUGUUCAGGGAUGAGUACGUUCCCCCGGUGGAGCGGGAACGAUUGGUUCAGGAGUUCUUAACCCUCAAGCAGGGUACUGAUUCGGUGGCGGCGAUCACGCGGAAGUUCCAUGAGAGGGCGAUGUUUUGCCCCGAGCUGGUGGCCACAGAGCAGGCUCGGAUGAGCCGGUACUUGGGUGUUCUGAGGAGGGAGAUCCGGGAGUUUGUGUCAAACUCCACUUACCAUACUUUUACUGAGCUUCAGGCGAAUGCCAGGAAGCGUGAGAUCGAGUUAGAGACUCAGGCCAGGGAGGAGGCCGAGUCUCAGCAGGCAGACCGGCGACCGGCUCAGUCUCAGCCGGCAGCCAAGCGGAUCAAGUCCGCCGAUUCGAGGACGGGAGGUUCGAAGAACCGCACUUGCGUAAAGUGCGGUAAGGGUCACGAUGGGGCGUGUCGAGCCGGUGCUUGCUACAAGUGUGGCAAGGAGGGACACAUUGCUAGGGAGUGUCCCAAGGGAUUUAUGGUUUGCUUUCAUUGCAACCAGACCGGCCAUCGGAAGGCCGAGUGCCCUCAGCUUCGUCAGGGAUCUGCACCUGUUGCCAGGACUACUGAGACUCGACCGGUGAAGGUCGAGGCCCCGAGGGCUCGUGGGAGAGCCUUUCAGCUGACUGCGGAGGAGGUCCGCGCUGCGCCCGAUGUUGUGGCAGGUAUGUUGUAAUUCAUGUAAUUAUUUUAAUGUCGAUAUGUUAUGCUUAUGUUAUUAUGCGCGUAGGUACUUUCCUUGUGAACUCUGUGCCUGCCUUAGUGUUAUUUGACUCGGGUGCGAGUAGGUCCUUUGUGUCCUUGGCCUUUAGUCAGCAUAUUGGCGUUAGUCGUGAGUCGUUGAGUCGACCUUUGAGAGUCUCUAUAGCUGACGAGAAGGUGAUUUGUGCUACGGAGGUUCUUCGGGGAUGUGUACUAGAGAUUUUCGGGGUUGGAUUCCCGAUUGAUCUGAUUCCUAUCGCGAUGGGGGAUGUCUGUGUCAUCGUGGGCAUGGACUGGUUGAGCCGGUUCGGCGCUGUCAUCGACUGUGAGCGUCAGUUGGUGACUAUACGAGACCCUAGUGGGGGAGUUCUUUCGGUAUACGGCGAGGGUACCCGUUCGGGAUCAGCUUUUUGUUCGGCCGCUAGGGCGAGGCAGUGUCUACGACAGGGCUGUAAGGGUUUCGUGGCGUAUGUGAUGGAUACGCGGGAGGUUUCUGAGAAACCGAAGUCAGUUGAGGAAGUUCCGGUGGUGCGCGAGUUUUCAGAUGUCUUUCCCGAGGAGUUGCCGGGAGUACCGCCUGUGAGGCAAGUAGAGUUUAGUAUCGAUCUGGUUCCGGGGGCAGCGCCUAUUGCUAAAGUGCCCUAUCGUCUUGCACCUCCAGAGAUGCAAGAGUUGUCCUCGCAACUCCAGGAGUUGCUGGGAAAGGGAUUCAUUCGGCCGAGCAGCUCGCCAUGGGGAGCACCUAUUCUGUUCGUCAAGAAGAAGGAUGGUUCACACCGGAUGUGCAUUGAUUACCGGGAGUUGAACAAGCUAACGGUCAAGAACCGUUACCCGUUGCCGAGGAUCGAUGAUUUAUUCGAUCAGUUGCAGGGAGCAUCUUGGUUUUCCAAGAUCGAUCUGAGGUCAGGAUACCAUCAGGUGAGAGUACGGGAUGAAGACGUCCAGAAGACAGCGUUUAGGACGCGAUAUGGGCAUUAUGAGUUUGUGGUGAUGCCUUUUGGACUCACCAAUGCCCCGGCUGUGUUCAUGGAUCUCAUGAACAGGGUAUGCAGGCCGAUGUUGGAUCGGUCAGUGAUUGUAUUUAUCGACGACAUUCUGGUGUAUUCGAGAUCUAGAGAGCAGCAUGAGGAGCAUUUGAGGGAGGUCCUUGAGGUAUUGAGGUCGGAGAAGCUUUAUGCAAAGUUCUCCAAAUGUGACUUCUGGUUGCGGGAGGUCCAGUUUCUAGGACAUGUGGUUAAUCAGAAAGGGAUAUUGGUCGAUCCGGCCAAGGUUGAGGCGGUGAUGAGUUGGGAGGUGCCGAAGUCACCCUCUGAGAUCAGAAGUUUCCUUGGGUUGGCAGGGUAUUAUCGGAGAUUUAUCAAGGAUUUCUCCAAGAUCGCAGUGCCACUCACCAGAUUGACCCGGAAGGGUGUUACAUUCUCAUGGGGGCCCGAGCAGCAGACCUCCUUUGAGACACUUCGCCAGAGAUUGUGCGAAGCCCCGGUAUUAGCUCUCCCAGAAGGGAUGGAAGAUUUCGUGGUAUAUUGCGACGCAUCGAUUUCGGGAUUGGGUGCAGUGUUAAUGCAGAGGGGUCAUGUGAUAGCUUAUGCGUCGAGGCAGCUGAAGCCUCAUGAGGCGAGAUAUCCCACGCAUGAUUUAGAGUUGGGGGCAGUAGUGUUCGCUCUCAAGAUUUGGCGUCACUACUUGUAUGGGGUUCGAUGUACGAUAUACACGGACCAUAAGAGUUUGAAGUAUUUGAUGGAUCAACCCAACCUAAAUAUGCGUCAGAGGAGGUGGUUGGAUGUGGUCAAGGAUUAUGAUUGUGAGAUCCUGUACCACCCAGGCAAGGCUAAUGUGGUAGCCGAUGCAUUGAGCCGCAGGGCGGAGAGCACUCCAUUGCGAGACGUAUGCUUGAGACUGACUGUGAUGACUCCAGUAUUGGACGCUAUUCGUGGGGCCCAGGCAGAGGCUGUGCGACCAGAAAUGCAGAAGAAAGAGCGGGUUGUGGGGUUAAUCUCAGAGUUUGUCAAGGAUAGUCGAGGCCUUAUGACGUUUCAGGGUCGGAUUUGGGUACCGUUCGUGGGCGGUACGCGUAUUACGUUGAUGGAAGAGGCUCAUAGAUCGAAAUUCUCGAUCCAUCCCGGUGCUACAAAGAUGUAUUUGGAUUUAAGGAAGGAAUAUUGGUGGCCCUGUAUGAAGAGGGACGUGGCAUGGUUCGUUGAGAGGUGCUUGACCUGCCGUAGGGUUAAGGCUGAGCACCAGAGACCGCAUGGCAAGUUACAGCCAUUGGAGAUCCCCGAGUGGAAGUGGGAACAGAUUACUAUGGAUUUUAUCACCAAAUUGCCGAGGACUGCUAGGGGAGUUGACGCAAUUUGGGUGAUCGUGGAUAGGUUGACAAAGAGUGCACACUUCCUUGCCAUCAGUGAGAGUUCUUCGGCGGAGAAAUUGGCGGAGAUAUACGUGAGAGAGGUGGUAUCUCGGCACGGGGUGCCGAUCUCGAUUGUGUCAGACCGUGAUGUGCGCUUUACUUCCAGAUUCUGGAAGAAAUUCCAUGAGGAGCUGGGUACUAAAUUGCAUUUUAGUACCGCAUACCAUCCCCAGACAGACGGUCAGAGCGAGCGGACAAUUCAGACACUGGAGGACAUGCUCCGAGCGUGUGUGUUAGACUUCGGGGGUAGUUGGGAUGCGUAUUUACCAUUGGCAGAGUUCUCCUACAACAACAGCCAUCAUUCGAGCAUUGGUAUGCCACCUUUUGAGCUGUUGUAUGGUAGGAGGUGUCGGACCCCCAUUUGCUGGGGAGAGGUGGGACAGAGAGUGAUGGGCAGCACGGAGAUCGUGCUCCAGACGACAGAGCAGAUUCAGCAAGUGAGACAAAGGUUAUUGACUGCCCAGAGCCGACAGAAGAGUUAUGCAGACAGGCGCCGAUCCGAGCUUGAAUUUCAGGUCGGCGACUUCGUUCUCCUGAAGGUCUCUCCUUGGAAAGGAGUGAUUCGGUUCAGGAAGAGAGGCAAGUUGGGGCCCCGGUAUAUUGGGCCAUUUCGUGUGAUUGCAAGGAUAGGUCGGGUAGCCUAUCGGUUGGAGUUACCAGCGGAGUUGGGUCAGAUCCAUGACACUUUUCAUGUGUCGCAGUUGAGGAAGUGCAUAGCCGAUGAGUCGGCAGUGGUUCCAUUGGAGGAUAUUCAGGUGGAUGCGAGCCUGAAUUACGCGGAGAGACCAGUGGCUAUCAGGGAUCGGAAGAUCAAGGUUCUGAGGAACAAGGAAGUACCUCUGGUGUUGGUUCAAUGGCAACACCGUAAGGGAUCAGAAAUGACUUGGGAACCGGAGCGCGAAAUGCGGGAGCAGCAUCCGGAACUAUUUGCAGAGUGAGACUUCGAGGGCGAAGUCUAAUCCAAGUGGGGGAGAGUUGUAACAGCCCGGAAUCUCAGGUAUUAUUAAAAUUAUGUUUUUUGGGUGGUUUAAGAGGGGACUCGGCGAGUUGGAGCCUAGACUCGCCGAGUAGGAUCGCAGACUUGGUCGCGGGUCCGCGACUGGACUCGACGAGUCCAGAUAUGGACUCGGCGAGUCGACGCUGUUCAGCAGAAACCCUAACCGUUCAGUUUGAAUCGUAUAUAACGCCUCUUAGGCCGUCAUUUUCCGUCUUUUGAUCGAUUGAAAGGAACCCUAAUCGUUGUGGACGUCUAGGGCAGGAGAGAAAGCUAUUGGAACUUGGAGGAACUUGUUAGACAAGAAGAAGAAGAAAUU
RNAcentral lists this long non-coding RNA (6909 nucleotides) under Lactuca sativa (garden lettuce). Its description in RNAcentral is "long non-coding RNA (LSAT_LNC005912)". Lineage: Eukaryota; Viridiplantae; Streptophyta; Magnoliopsida; Asterales; Asteraceae. The record is from RNAcentral.